This 561-nucleotide long non-coding RNA is filed under the name Nicotiana benthamiana. RNAcentral's name for it is "long non-coding RNA (NBEN_LNC012166)". The record is from RNAcentral. Lineage: Eukaryota; Viridiplantae; Streptophyta; Magnoliopsida; Solanales; Solanaceae.
UUCACAUCACACAGGUCGCGUUCGCGAUGAGCAACCCCCUCCCCUAGUGCUCCGCGUUUGCGACUGUGGCUUCGCGUUCGCGAAGAACAAUUCCACCCCUGUCCCAAUUUCCCUUUCGUGAUCAUGAGUGUUACUACCUGAUCGUGAUGCAAAAAAGAUCUGUGCACCUGCAGCAAAAAUUCUGAAAUUUUUCCUAAGUCCAAAACUUCCCGAAACACCUUCGAUUCACACCUGAGCCCUCAAGGAUACUAACCAAACAUGCGUACUAACUCAACAUCAUACGAACUUAUCAUAUAAUCAAAUCGCUAAAUAACCUCAAUAACAACGAGUUACACCUCAAAAUCAAAAUAUUUUUCUCAAACUUCAUAAAACAUUAACUUUAACAAUUUAGGUCCGAAUCACGUCAAACGACAUUCGUUUUUUCCCAAAUUUUAUGAAAAUAUAUUAAAUCAUAUGCAAUACCUGUACCGGGUGCCAGAACUAAAAUACAGUCCCGAUACCACCAUGUUCUAAUCAAAUUUUUAUUUUAAAUUUCCUUAAAUAAUUUUCUUUAAAAAUUCA